Molecule: ribosomal RNA, 253 nt
Filed under: uncultured bacterium
Lineage: Bacteria
Description: partial 16S ribosomal RNA
Rfam family: Bacterial small subunit ribosomal RNA
Source: RNAcentral
UACGUAGGGUGCAAGCGUUGUCCGGAAUUAUUGGGCGUAAAGAGCUCGUAGGCGGUUUGUCGCGUCUGCUGUGAAAACUCGGGGCUUAACCCCGGGCCUGCAGUGGGUACGGGCAGACUAGAGUGUGGUAGGGGAGACUGGAAUUCCUGGUGUAGCGGUGAAAUGCGCAGAUAUCAGGGGGAACACCGGUGGCGAAGGCGGGUCUCUGGGCCGUAACUGACGCUGAGGAGCGAAAGCGUGGGGAGCGAACAGG